This 483-nucleotide ribosomal RNA is filed under the name uncultured bacterium. RNAcentral describes it as "partial 16S ribosomal RNA". It matches the Rfam family "Bacterial small subunit ribosomal RNA", at positions 28 to 523 of the family's 1533-position model. The record is from RNAcentral.
GACGAACGCUGGCGGCGUGCUUAACACAUGCAAGUCGAACGAUGAAGCCGGAGCUUGCUCCGGUGGAUUAGUGGCGAACGGGUGAGUAACACGUGAGCAAUCUUCCCUUGACUCUGGGAUAACUGCGGGAAACUGUAGCUAAUACCGGAUACGACACCUUGGGGCAUCCCAGGGUGUGGAAAGAAUUUCGGUCAAGGAUGAGCUCGCGGCCUAUCAGCUAGUUGGUGAGGUAAUGGCUCACCAAGGCGACGACGGGUAGCCGGCCUGAGAGGGGGACCGGCCACACUGGAACUGAGGCAGGGGCCAGACGACUACGGGAGGCAGCGGUGGGGAAUAUUGCACAAGGGGCGAAAGCCGCAUGCAGCAGCGCCGGGUGAGGGAUGAAGGCCUUCGGGUUGUAAACCUCUUUUAGCAGGGAAGAAGCGAAAGUGACGGUACCUGCAGAAAAAGCACCGGCUAACUACGUGCCAGCCGCCGCCGUAA